RNAcentral lists this long non-coding RNA (771 nucleotides) under Homo sapiens (human). RNAcentral describes it as "long independently transcribed non-coding RNA 1580 (LINC01580)". Lineage: Eukaryota; Metazoa; Chordata; Mammalia; Primates; Hominidae. The record is from RNAcentral.
AGUGCUCACUCCAGGCCACAGACUCCGACCGGAACUGACAGCGCGGCCUCCAGGAUUGAAGCCAUCCCUGGCUUGAAGUAGCCUAAGGAGAUUUGCUAGUUUGAGUCCUGGGAGAUGAGAUGGGGAAGAUGGGCCCAAGCUGCAACAUGAAGGUCCAUGAUGAACAGUUGGCAUCUCCUACAGUGCCUGCCACUUGGUAAUGUUCAAUGCAGCCAAGGGAGCUAAGGUAAUGAACAAAACAGAGAAGUUCCUACCCUCCCUGAUGUUCAUUCUAGCAAAUGGAGACAGAUGAUAGAAACUGCACAUCAUUGAGCAAGAGGGACACCAUGGAUAAUGGAAAGAUCUACGGCAAGGCUGGCUGUCUGCCCUGUCUAAGGAGGACGUACUGGACCAUCCUGCUCUGCACAUCCAGAUGUGUCCAUGAAUACAUCCAUAAAACGAUGGCCUGUGGAAUCCUAUAGGAAAAUGAUCCAGAGCCUGGGCGGUCAGAAGGAACAAACACUUGAUUUACAAAAUAAAUCUUCUAUGUUUAUGUUUUAAAGACACACAGAGGAAAAACAUUUUUAAAUUCAUGAUUUCCCCCCCCAGAUUUUAACUAUUGUAAUCUCUUUCUUUCCUGAGCCUUAGGCAUCUUCAUUAUAAACCAAAAGAUAUAACUUGAGAUUUUCCCAGGGUUUAUAUACUCGUUAGAGUUGGAAACAUGAAAAUGGCAAUUUGGGAUGUCUCUUUGGAGUCAAAAACCUUAUAAAAAUAUAAUGUACUUUCUCUCUC